GAUGAACGCUAGCGGCAGGCUUAACACAUGCAAGUCGAGGGGUAGUUGUCUUCGGAUAAUGAGACCGGCGCACGGGUGCGUAACGCGUAUACAAUCUACCUUUUACAGAGGGAUAGCCCAGAGAAAUUUGGAUUAAUACCUCAUAGUAUUUUUGAAUCGCAUGAUUUGAUUAUUAAAGUUCCAACGGUAAAAGAUGAGUAUGCGUCCCAUUAGCUAGAUGGUAAGGUAACGGCUUACCAUGGCAACGAUGGGUAGGGGUCCUGAGAGGGAGAUCCCCCACACUGGUACUGAGACACGGACCAGACUCCUACGGGAGGCAGCAGUGAGGAAUAUUGGACAAUGGGCGCAAGCCUGAUCCAGCCAUGCCGCGUGCAGGAAGAAGGUCCUAUGGAUUGUAAACUGCUUUUAUACAGGAAGAAACACCUCUACGUGUAGAGACUUGACGGUACUGUAUGAAUAAGGACCGGCUAACUCCGUGCCAGCAGCCGCGGUAAUACGGAGGGUCCAAGCGUUAUCCGGAAUCAUUGGGUUUAAAGGGUCCGUAGGCGGUUUAAUAAGUCAGUGGUGAAAGCCCAUCGCUCAACGAUGGAACGGCCAUUGAUACUGUUAAACUUGAAUUAUUAGGAAGUAACUAGAAUAUGUAGUGUAGCGGUGAAAUGCUUAGAGAUUACAUGGAAUACCAAUUGCGAAGGCAGGUUACUACUAAUAUAUUGACGCUGAUGGACGAAAGCGUGGGGAGCGAACAGGAUUAGAUACCCUGGUAGUCCACGCCGUAAACGAUGGAUACUAGCUGUUCGGAGCAAUCUGAGUGGCUAAGCGAAAGUGAUAAGUAUCCCACCUGGGGAGUACGGUCGCAAGAUUAAAACUC
RNAcentral lists this ribosomal RNA (868 nucleotides) under uncultured microorganism. RNAcentral describes it as "bacterial SSU rRNA". It matches the Rfam family "Bacterial small subunit ribosomal RNA", at positions 28 to 902 of the family's 1533-position model. The record is from RNAcentral.